RNAcentral lists this ribosomal RNA (499 nucleotides) under uncultured bacterium. RNAcentral's name for it is "partial 16S ribosomal RNA". It matches the Rfam family "Bacterial small subunit ribosomal RNA", at positions 30 to 523 of the family's 1533-position model. The record is from RNAcentral.
AUUGAACGCUGGCGGAAUGCUUUACACAUGCAAGUCGAACGGCAGCACGGGGGCAACCCUGGUGGCGAGUGGCGAACGGGUGAGUAAUACAUCGGAACGUGCCCAGUCGUGGGGGAUAACGUAGCGAAAGUUACGCUAAUACCGCAUACGAUCUACGGAUGAAAGCGGGGGACCGUAAGGCCUCGCGCGAUUGGAGCGGCCGAUGUCAGAUUAGGUAGUUGGUGAGGUAAAGGCUCACCAAGCCGACGAUCUGUAGCUGGUCUGAGAGGACGACCAGCCACACUGGGACUGAGACACGGCCCAGACUCCUACGGGAGGCAGCAGUGGGGAAUUUUGGACAAUGGGCGCAAGCCUGAUCCAGCCAUUCCGCGUGCAGGACGAAGGCCUUCGGGUUGUAAACUGCUUUUGUACGGAACGAAAAGGCUCUGGUUAAUACCUGGGGCUCAUGACGGUACCGUAGGAAUAAGCACCGGCUAACUACGUGCAGCAGCCGCAGUAA